This 1503-nucleotide ribosomal RNA is filed under the name Triticum aestivum (bread wheat). RNAcentral describes it as "partial small subunit ribosomal RNA". The record is from RNAcentral. Lineage: Eukaryota; Viridiplantae; Streptophyta; Magnoliopsida; Poales; Poaceae.
AUGGAGUCAGGAGAAGGAGAUGGUGCUGGUGCUACUGCUGCAGCAACAACAGCAGAAGAGAGAGCAAAGAUUCUGAAGAGGAAUUCCGAUGAUAUGGGUUGGGCUUACGGCCAGCUUGUUGAUCCUAACAAUCUUCAGAGAGUGAUGUGCAAUUUCUGCAGUCAGAUUUUCACGGGAGGUAUUUACCGGCUGAAGCAACACAUUGCGGCAAACUCAAAUGCGGUGAGGACCUGCCUACGAUUAACAAGGCAGCAUGGGAGGAGAGAUCACUUCGAGCACAUGAAUACAUUGCAAGAUGGGUGUAUACACAUGGUAAGAGCUUGCUGCCCUUCUGAGUAUGCAAGAACCAAGAGUGAACUCAAGGACCGAGAGGUUGAGAAAGGCAAGCAUGGUUGCUCUCUCAUGACUGAUGCUUGGACUGACAUGAAGAGGAGAAGCAUUAUGAAUCUGGUCACACAUUGCUCGAAAGGUGUUAGCUUCAUCAAGUCAAAGGAAACAUCAGACACACCACAUACAAGUGAGAUGAUCUUCAAUCUAGUUGACAAAACAAUUGAAGAAUUAGGUGUUGAACAUGUGGUGCAGGUUGUGACUGACAAUGCUUCGAACAACAUGGGAGCUAAGGAUCUCUUGAAAGUGAAGAGGCCGAAGAUAUUUUGGAGCUCGUGUGCGACUCACACUGUCAAUUUGAUGCUCCAAGGGAUUGGCAACUUAGCUAAAAAGAUGGUGGGUUCCUCUAAGUGGGAUAAGAUCAAAGAUGUGCACUCAAAGAAAGGAAAGGAUGCUACAGCCAUAAUUCUCAACAAGCCGUUAUGGAAGGGUGUGAAUCUUUGCAUCAAGGUGUUCGAGCCGUUGGUGAAGGUCCUCCGGUUGGUUGAUGGUGAUGCACGGCCCUCAAUGGGCUUUGUGUAUGGAGAGAUUGUGAAGGCAAAGAAAGAAAUCAAAGAGGCCUUUGGUAACAUCGAGGCGCGGUACAAAGAUGUGUUAGCUAUAGUUGAAAAGAAAAUGAAAGAUAGGCUUGAUGCCCCACUGCAGUUGACUGCAUAUUUGUUGAAUCCACACUAUAGCUAUGCAGAUGACAGCAUAUUUGAUUCUGUUAACAUCAAUACAGCCUUUUAUUCUUUGGCUUGGUGGAGAAUGUAUGGAGGUGAGACACCAGGGCUGAAGGACAUGGCUAUGAAGAUCCUUUCUUUGACCUCAAGUUCUUCCGGUUGUGAGAGAAAUUGGAGUUGUUUUGAGUCGGGGGGAGAUGAUCAUGCUUUCAUGGUGUUUCCAGAUGGAGAUGAGGGAGCAGAUGGCAUACCUUGGAGUGUGGUUGGAGAUGCUAUGGGAACCAGUGAACAACUUGAGCUUCAUCGAAGUGCAAGGGUUAGAGAUCUCCAUGAUGAAGAGUUUGAGUCAGACGAAGAAGAAGUAGAGGAGACAGAUUCAGAGGAGGAAGACAUAGAGUACGGGGAUGAUGAAGAUGAAGUGGUGACUGGGCGCACUUAUGUGGAUGCGGACUAA